UACGGAGGGUGCAAGCGUUAAUCGGAAUUACUGGGCGUAAAGCGCGCGUAGGCGGCUGGAUAAGUCGAUUGUGAAAGCCCCGGGCUCAACCUGGGAAUUGCAGUCGAGACUGUUCGGCUAGAGUUCGGUAGGGGAGACUGGAAUUCCUGGUGUAGCGGUGAAAUGCGCAGAUAUCAGGAGGAACACCGGUGGCGAAGGCGGGUCUCUGGGCCGAUACUGACGCUGAGGAGCGAAAGCGUGGGGAGCGAACAGG
Molecule: ribosomal RNA, 253 nt
Filed under: uncultured bacterium
Lineage: Bacteria
Description: partial 16S ribosomal RNA
Rfam family: Bacterial small subunit ribosomal RNA
Source: RNAcentral